Molecule: long non-coding RNA, 359 nt
Organism: Schistocerca americana (American grasshopper)
Lineage: Eukaryota; Metazoa; Arthropoda; Insecta; Orthoptera; Acrididae
Exons: 2
Source: RefSeq, a predicted model, not a curated record
GGCGGACGCGCGCCGCGCAGCACGCCGACGCCGACGCGACGCCGGCGCCGACCGACGCCGUGCCGACGCGGGGGCGUGGCUCCGGUGCGACAAACGAACGGAAGCUAGCAGCCGUUGACCAGCGGCUGUCUGAAGUUGCAGGGGACACCUCACGCCUCACAUCAAAGCACUCUUCCUUCUCCGCAAGCGCAGCCCGCUGGAUUUCAGAACGAUCCGCGAAAGUUUGAAAGAGCUGCCGUGUAAGCAUGUUUGUGUACAAGAAAAAUGUGAUAUAAGACUUUAGAAACAAACGAAAGGGUCUGUGAAAUUCCCACUGUAUGCUGUCAUACGAAAUGUGAAAUACACGAGAGUGACUGUAA